RNAcentral lists this unclassified non-coding RNA (345 nucleotides) under soil metagenome. RNAcentral's name for it is "partial contains 5.8S ribosomal RNA, internal transcribed spacer 2, and large subunit ribosomal RNA". The stretch from base 1 to 120 matches the Rfam family "5.8S ribosomal RNA", at positions 35 to 154 of the family's 154-position model. The record is from RNAcentral.
GAUGAAGAACGCAGCGAAAUGCGAUACGUAAUGUGAAUUGCAGAAUUCAGUGAAUCAUCGAGUCUUUGAACGCACAUUGCGCCCCCUGGUAUUCCGGGGGGCAUGCCUGUCCGAGCGUCAUUGCUGCCCCCAAGCACGGCUUGUGUGUUGGGCCUCCGUCCUCCUCCCGGGGGACGGGCCCGAAAGGCAGCGGCGGCACCGCGUCCGGUCCUCGAGCGUAUGGGGCUUCGUCACCCGCUCUUGUAGGCCCGGCCGGCGCUUGCCGACACAUCAAUCUUUUUUCCAGGUUGACCUCGGAUCAGGUAGGGAUACCCGCUGAACUUAAGCAUAUCAAUAAGCGGAGGA